This 400-nucleotide ribosomal RNA is filed under the name uncultured eukaryote. Its description in RNAcentral is "SSU rRNA". It matches the Rfam family "Eukaryotic small subunit ribosomal RNA", at positions 567 to 950 of the family's 1831-position model. The record is from RNAcentral.
CCAGCAGCUGCGGUAAUUCCAGCUCCAAUAGCGUAUAUUAAAGUUGUUGCAGUUAAAAAGCUCGUAGUUGAAUUUCUGGGACGGGCGCCGGUCCACCUGCUUUGCGGGUGCGUACUUUGGUUUUAUGUAAGAUCCGUCUCAUUCUUGCGCGGUGCCGUGCCUGGCCUUGAUUGGUGUGGGUGCGGUGUUUUACUCCGCGCAUCGAUUACUGUGAACAAAUUAGAGUGUUUAAAGCAGGCUUUUAAGCUUGAAUACAUUAGCAUGGAAUAAUGACAUAGGACUUUGGUUCUAUUCGUUGGUGUGGUACUGAAGUAAUGAUUAAUAGGGAUAGUUGGGGGUAUUCAUAUUUGAUUGUCAGAGGUGAAAUUCUUGGAUUUAUUAAAGAUGAACAACUGCGAAA